GACGAACGCUGGCGGCGUGCUUAACACAUGCAGGUCGAACGGAAAGGCCCUGCUUUUGUGGGGUGCUCGAGUGGCGAACGGGUGAGUAACACGUGAGUAACCUGCCCUUGACUUUGGGAUAACUUCAGGAAACUGGGGCUAAUACCGGAUAGGAGCUCUUGCUGCAUGGUGGGGGUUGGAAAGUUUCGGCGGUUGGGGAUGGACUCGCGGCUUAUCCGCUGGUUUGUGGGGUAGUGGCUUACCAAGGCUUUGACGGGUAGCCGGCCUGGGAGGGUGACCGGCCACAUUGGGACUGAGAUACGGCCCAGACUGCUACGGGAGGCAGCAGUGGGGAAUAUUGCACAAUGGGCGGAAGCCUGAUGCAGCAACGCCGCGUGCGGGAUGACGGCCUUCGGGUUGUAAACCGCUUUCGCCUGUGACGAAGCGUGAGUGACGGUAAUGGGUAAAGAAGCACCGGCUAACUACGUG
RNAcentral lists this ribosomal RNA (468 nucleotides) under uncultured bacterium. Its description in RNAcentral is "partial 16S ribosomal RNA". It matches the Rfam family "Bacterial small subunit ribosomal RNA", at positions 28 to 507 of the family's 1533-position model. The record is from RNAcentral.